Molecule: non-coding RNA, 8336 nt
Organism: Heterocephalus glaber (naked mole-rat)
Lineage: Eukaryota; Metazoa; Chordata; Mammalia; Rodentia; Bathyergidae
Source: RefSeq, a predicted model, not a curated record
UCAAACUCAUGGUAAUCCUUCUGCCUCAGCUUCCUAAGUUCUGGGAUUACAGGUGUGCGUCACCACACUUGCCUAAUAGAUUCAUUCUUAAUAACUACAAAAUAUAAUUUUAAUAAGCAUGUUCAAACACAUAUAGAAAACCCUCCUAUGGAACUUUAUCGCAACAUAAAUGCCUUAAAUUUAUUUAUCUUCUUAUCUAUUAGAGGGCAAGGGACCAAAGUAAGUCACUCAAAUGUCAGGACAUUUAUAUAGCACCAGAAAGCUAAACACGCACAAAACUCUACAUUUGCCAUUCUCACCAUCUGAGGGUUUCACCUGUAAAAUUCUUGUUUUUUACUGGUACAAUUUAGAUAUACAUGAUGAUCACACUCAUCAUAGGGAAGUUGUACCUCUGCGUGAUAUAUCUUGAUUCUUCUUUUUUUCCCAUUCCCCUUGUAUACAUUUCCCUGAUCCGGUUGCAAGGCCACUGAAGGGGGGAAGCUUUUUAAAAGAAAUUUAAAAAUUGUGCUAAAAAUAGAAAGGUUUCUAUUCUACUUGAAGGAAAGCACCUGUCAGUCAAAAGGGUUAAGAGUGGGCACCAAGGGGCACUUCCAUGAAGGAGCGCUGUAGGGAUCUUGUUUGCACUGGCGGCCAGCUUUGAAUGCCAGUUUACUUAGGACCUGGCAAGAAGCAGGGGUAGUUUCCCAAGACUGGAAUCCAAAUAAACUUUCCCCAGCUAAUAGCAUAGUGUAAGGAGGGCUGGUCCAGUUUUCACCUGUGACUCACUAUUUUUAUGAUUUGGGGAUUUAGUUCUUUUGAACCUCAAUUUCCUCAUCUGCAACAUGGGAAGAAUAAUCCUCUCCUGGGAAUUGUUGGAAAGUGUCCAGAUAUCUGUAUAAAGUGCUGGAUAUGUAACAGGCACUCAAUAAAGGCAGCUCUGAGCUUCAUAGCACUUGGCUGCCCAGGAAAACUAGUACUUGUCCCAGAACCAUAAAAACACUCUUCUGAUACCAAAAAGGAAAGAAAAAGGAAACAUGAACAGCUCUUUAAGACAAGCAAAAUCAUCUUUCUACCUAUCAAAGAGACUAGCAUGGUGAAUUGCAUGGAACUGACGUUCAGAAGCUUUGCCAGAAGGUGGAAGUCUAACAGGAGAGAUAAAUGUGCUUUAUCUACAAGCUGGAAGGUAGUGAAAGACUUUCUCUUUAGGGGCUAGGAAUCCCUCCAUGCAAAGUGGGUUUCAGUGGAGGUAACAGUUCUGUGGACUGUAGAUUAUUACCCUGCCGCACCUACAGCCCCGAGCACGGUCCUGCGAGUUUCCGGCAUUUCUCUUUGGGGCUCUCUGGACAGCUCUGUGUUUUUCCUCUGCUACUGCAAGGCCUGCUCCAAACCUCACCUGCUCCUGUCCUCUCAAAGCUUUUCUGUCAGGUGCCAGCUGCCAGAGUUCUGCUUCAAAGCCGCUGUGAGAUGAAAUUCCUGGAGACUCCAGGCCCACUGGCGGUGGUGGGGAAGCCAGGGACACACAAAAGGGCUCUGGCUCAGCCGCUUUCCAAACCCACAAUCCGUGAGUCACUUUAGGUUGGCUCCAAGAGCUCCUGGGGGCGGGAGGUCGCCUGACCAGUAAGCAUUUGGUUCUUUGAGGGGUCACAGUGUCAACAGGGAGUCUGUCUGGGAGGGGUUAGCCUGAUUUUCAAUCUGUUAUUUCUCUUCCUGUGCCUGCCACUUCCUGCCCCAGCCUCCUGCCACAUCCUGGUGCCCAGCUGGGUGGAGGGCGAGGGAUUCUUCUGUCACAUAAUUAAUGGAUGCUGAGAUGGGUCCUUUCAAGGCAGCUAUUGUAAAGACUCCAAAAGCAAGGGCAGGAUGGAGGUCAGAGGUCACACACCCUACUCUUUGCCAAGGCUUAGCCAAGAGAAAUGAAGUGGGGAGCAGAACAUAGUCAACAAUCGAUGAUACCACAUCUGAACAGAAGAAAGGAGAGAACCAGGGAGUAAGGAACGGACAAAAUGACUGAGCACCAGCUUCUCCUGGAGGCCGAGAUUUGCUCCUGGGGGUCUGCUCCUUACCCUUCUGCCCAGGGCCUUCCAUCCUAAAUAGGCAGUGGCCAUGGCACGUGGCAGUAGGUGACAGCCCUUGCACUUGCAGGUUUGUAGCAGCAUUAUUCAUAAUGGUCUCAAGGUAGAAGCAACUCAACUUUCCAUCAACAGUGAGUGGAUAAACAAAAUAUAUGUGUGUUUUUUUAGGGGCUAUGAAAUGUGACCAGGGGAAGAGUACACUUGGGUGUGUGCGCACGCACACACACACACACAGCAGUAUUACUCAGUGUUACACAGGAAGGGAAUUCCAACACUGCUAUAAUAUGUUUGAACUUUGAGGAUAUUAUGAAAAGUGCAUAAGCCAGUCACAAAAGGAUAAUCACACUAUAAUUCCACUUACGUGAUACCUAGAGUGGUCUUAUUUAUAGAGAUAGAAAGAAGACUAGUGGUUGGCAGGGGUCGGGGAGAGAGGAACAAACAGUUACUUUUAAUGAGUAUAGACUUCCAGUUUUUCAGGAUAAGAUUUAUGUAGAGGGAUGGUAAUAACAGUUGUACAGUGGUGUGAGUGCCACUAAACUGUACAUUGGAAGUGGCAGAGAUGGGACAUUUUUAUGUAUUUUACCACAGUUUUUUUUAAGUGAGAGAUGGUCUGGAAGAUUAUCAUUUUUCAUAGCAGCAGGUGACUGGGUACACGUGAAUCCUGUCCCUGAAGCAUGUGAUGUCUAGUGAUUCUUUUUUUUCAGAGAAAGGAAAAUAUAAAAAGAUUUUUUAGAAUUUUUAGGAAUUUUUUAAUGGAAGUGUCUUCCAUUGGUGAAAAGUCAGCACUUUGCUGCCAUGAUGAUGCUUUCCUGAGCAGUGAUGAACAGCCCACCCCAUGAAGAAGGACCACCAUGAGAAUGGCCAAGGGGACCAGAUGUGAGCACAGCGUGUGGCCCAGGCACAGUGUGUGUGGGAAAAACCCAGAAAGAGAAAGGGAUAAAGUGAGGGGGAAAUGGAGAGAAUAGGGAAUGGGAAGCAGAAAGCCAUGUGUAAGGGAGGCAGAAGAAUGUAGAAAAGGCUUUCUGCUGUGGAGGAUUGUGAACCCCAACAGCAAGAAUAACAAAGACUUUGAAACUUAAGAGUCUGUCAGCAGAAGAGCUCAGUGGAGAAGUCACUGCAGAGUAAAACAAGACGAGACAGAUUUUUCUGUCCCCCCCACACUGAGCAAAACAACACUAGAGGAAGAAACAGAGGCAGGGAUGCUCUCCAUCUCUGACCUGUAAGAUCCCACAACUCUCGAGGAGAAAGGAGGCCUCACCAACAUGCUGCUCUCUAGAGAACAAGCUUUCCGGCCAGAACCACCUGGAGGGUUUUUAGAACGAGAAAUGGCCACACCCAGAGACUGCUCUGUGGUGGCGUUGGGUGGAGUCUGAACACCUACAUUUCUGGUAAGUUUCCAGGUGGUGCUGAGGCCCCUGGAUUAAGGCCCACUCUUUGCAAACCAUGACCUUAGAAUGAAAGAGGGAGAGGAUAUUAGUGAUUGGCUGAGUACAUUCAAGGUUUUCUCAAGUGCUUAAAAAGGAAGGCCGAAUCAAGAACUAUAGGGAGAGACUGUAUUGAAUUUAUAUUAGGUAAAUUUAUCCACAUUUGGUUUCUUUAAAGGCCAGGAACUUUAUAGUCAGAACUGGGCAACAUGGCUUUCUAGCAGUAUGCCUUGGUCAAGUUACUUAGCCCUAUUCUCCUCAUCUGUAAAAUUGGGCUAAUGAGUACUGACUCAAUGGGAUUUCUUGGAAGAUUGUGAUUGAUGUAAGUUGGGGAGGUGCCUCAGUGGUUCAGUGUUUGUGUAGCACGUAUGAAGGCCUGAAUUCGACCUCCCAGGACUAAGGCUGAUGCAUGUACGGGACUCAGCACGGUAGCAAGGCACAGGGUACUGUUCGACAAGUGACGGCGGGCUCCGUCAGAGUAGACAAUACUAACCAACACCAUUUAGAGACCCAUGUGUCUGCUAAUGUUAUGAAGGAGAGAAUGGAACCAGCGACACCAAACACAGUGAUGCUGACUGGGCCGUGGAGGUGGAGGGCAGUGGGCACGAGGGGCUUCUCACCCUGGACAUCCCCGGUCUCUUACGCUGGGUGGGGUGGGACAGGGGUACUCUUUUGAUUCUUUAAACCAUGCAUUUAUACUGGAGGUACUCCUCUGUAGAAAUGAAAUAUUUCACAAGGAAAGAUCUCAAAACAAAAUAAAAAGACUGUAAUAAAAGGCUGUAAAUUAUUGAGCUACUUCGGCUGCUAUGGUUGAGAUAAGAGCUCAGUUCUGUAAUAAAAUCCACAUCCAUGAACCGGAAGGCUCUGUGUUCUUUAUCUCUGAAUGACUCAUAUUUUCCUUCGGGAUCCCUUGAACAAGAACCCGCAGUAAGGAUUUGAGAGCACAGAGCACGGCGUAUUUUUCUGCAGACCAGAGAGUAGAAUAUGAGGCGGAAAAGCAGGACGGGGAGACAGGGAAGCAGAGAGACUGCUACGGGGAAGCUGGAAAAGUCAACAAAUGGUGUGCUCUUGAGGUCUUUGCUGAGCAGAGGCCUCACCUUCAGCAGGACCCCAAGAAGCACAGACUGGCAGGGCAGAGCUGGUGCCACACCUGCAAAGCAUGUGCAUGGCACACAGGCUGUGCAUGGUGAAAAGCACCAGACACAUUCGUUUCCUUGAAGACAGCAGUGGAAAGGGAAAAACGCACUAUUUAGCAGAAUUUAUUUUUUCACUCAUGUCUUAGGAUCAUCUUCCAGGAGUCUUCUCUGACUUCCCCCUGGCCAGACCAGAUUUUGCAGUUCAGUGCCUCCCUGAGGCCCUGUGCACUUCCCUUUCACUGUCUUUGCCCACAGGACCCCGUUAGCCAGGGGGUACCUGCCUCUCCCAGCAGGCUCUGUUUCUGGACCUUCACUGGCACAUGGGAAUUCACCAGUCAUUUGCUGAAUGAGAGUGAAGGCAUAGUGAGGGAACCAGGGGGUAAGGAAACAGGUUGUAUCCAGAGCCAAGAAAUAGUAGGAGGAGACAAAAAUAGAGCUGAAGGAAUAAAACAGAAAAUCCAGACUUGCUUCAUUUUAACACCAUUCUCAAAUUACCAAUAUGCUUUUAAUGUAUCUUAUUUGAAUCUUUCUUAAUUUUUUUUUUCCGGGGCAUCCCGAAGAAAGGCAUAGCAGGUGAGAUCCAUUGUUAAAUGCAUUCUUUUCCUGCUGGAGUUCUGAAGAGAUGGGCUUGGGGUAAGGCAGGCACAGAUUGGCAGGCCAUUUUGAUUAAUGAUAAAGUAGCUGUUUGAAAAUGUAGUUCAUGCUGGGCACGGUGGUGCACAGCUGUAAUCCCAGCACUCGGGAGGCUGAGGCAGGAGGAUCACUGUGAGUUUGAGGCCAGCCUGGGCUACAUAGUGAUUUCGAGGCCAGCCUGAAACACAUGGUGAGACUCUGUCUCAAAAACAAAAACCAAAAACCAACAACAAAGAAGAAAAUGUGGCUCAUGUUGUGAGCAGCACCAAGCCCUGGUGAGACUGACUUUCCCACACAGCAAGGGCCACCAGGGCAGCCUGGGUUGGUGCCGCCUGUGGCCAGGUGGCCCCCAAACGGGGGGGGGGGGAAGAGCAACUCCAGGCUGAUGUUCCAGUCCCUGCUUCCACAUCCGGGAUCAGGUAGGCCACCUUCCUCAGGGCACAUUGUGGGGUGCACAGAAGUCAGGAGAGUAACACUAAUCGAUGUCCUUCACAGGGAAGAAAACGCCAGGGGCAACGAGUAGGCUUCCUGGGACGGAUACCUGUUCUAAAGUAACGGCAAAACAAGUCUUUUUUAUACUAAUGGGUGUUGCUUGAAGUUUGUCAUCAUCGUGACAGAUUAAAAUUCAACAACAGACAGAUUAAAAUUCAACAACAGAAGAGAGAAAGAGGCCAGAUAUAAAGAAACAAUAUACGGCCACUUUCACAGUGGAGAAAUAUUCUAAAUUAGCAGUCACUUUAGCAUUUUUAAAAUAAACCUUUGGGAGGAAUAAAUAUCACAUGUACAUGGUACAAAAUUCAAAAGGAAUAAAGUGUAUAGAGAAAAAGUCUUUCUCCUACACUGGCGAUUGCUUUUAAGGGUUAUUUUCUAAUUAUACACAAUCAGAAACUCUUUCAGUUGCUCUUUUGCCCUGAUUUGCUGAGUAGUCUUCAGUUUACAAAUGGACACAUGGAGCUUAAUCGGUUUGAAUGUCCCCUGGAAUUCAGAUUGCAUGGUGCAUUUUUGUUUCUAGUUUUUAAAGCUAACUCAUUAGCUUUUAACUAUGCCUCAAAUGCAGCACAUGAAACCCAACUCUGCUGACUCGCUUGUGCUCGGAGUUCUAACCAAGACUAUCAGAAAUAAAUUGAAUUCUGGGCUGUUUUGUCUACUCCAACAUCCCAGCAGACCCCAUCUCUCAUCUCUCCCAAUUUCCAUACAGAACUUCCAAGGUAAUUCCCUGGAAGAGGGGCACAAGUAUUGCCUCUGAGGCCCAUGGGUGUCUGAUGUCAUGUCGGGGAGGUUGCCAUACAGCCAGGAUCGGGCAGCAGGACAAUGGCACUGAUGGCCCGAAGGCAGUGGGGACACGGCUGCAGCUUUGCUCUGCUGGCAGGCACACCGGGUCUUUAGCUUGAAGACAACUGGAGAAAGUCGGCAGUCUGUUCAGUUACACACAGUGACAGCUUCCCUAUCUCUUGGUUUGAAUUGCUACAACUUGAAAAAGAGUGUUUUUCAUGGUUUUAACUUUAAUUCAUAUAUAAAAAUAUAUAAAGUAUAUAUUUAUGAUUUUUUGGUUAGGAAAACCAAACAAGUGACAUGUAUAGUCGCUUACCCCAAAUUGAGACAGCAAUUAUCAAAUAAGCUAAUUGUUUUCUUUUUUUCUUUAAGUGAUUGGCCUGCUGGAUUGGGGCCAGGCAUGUGCUCGGAGAGGAGCCCACUGAGAAGCUGACUGGAGCCCAGGGAGGGAGCUGCACUUCCCCUUUGGAGCUGGGAUGGGGCUGCAGGGGCUGGCAUCAGAGAGAGGCUUUCCAGGGAUCGAACUCAGAACCUUGAGCUUGUGCAGUAGGCAGCGGCACCACUGAGCUAAAUCCCCCGCCCCAUAUAAUCCUACUUUUUAACGAAAUUCUCUUAUUAUUUACAAUAGCUUUCCAGAUAUAUAUUUUUCUCUUUACUUUUAUUAAUCUGAUGAAUCAUAUUAGUUGUUGUCCUACUAUGAACAAACUGAGAUUCUUGGACUAGAUUUUGUAAUAAAGGAUUGUCUUUAAAUGUACCAUUGGUUCUCUUUGGUAAUAUUUGGGAUUUUUUUUUUAAAGUGAGACUGGGCUAUAGUUUCUUUUUUGGCAAUCUUUGUCAGGCAUAAUAUUAAUGUUAGACUCGUUAAAGAGUUGGGAAGAUUUCUUAUUUUUCCAAUCCUCUCAGCUGGAUUAAAUAGCAUUACAAUUAUUUCAUCUUUUAUGGUUUGACACAAUUCUCUCGUGAAUAUAUCCUUUGUCUUAAACACAGAUUCCUCAGUUCAGCCUCAGCUUUAUAAAUUAUGAAGCUCAGAAAAGCUAUGUUAAAAGUCUUCCCUCCCAACCUCCACUCCUAUCCUCAGACUGUCUUGACCCAUCAUAGGAUUCUGAGAUUUAUUUGGUGAUUUAGAGCAAACUAUAAAGCAACUAUCUUGUAACUGGAGCGUUUAGGAUGGGUUAGGGGAGGAGGCAGGAUGGGAAGAAGAGAGAGAAUGUGGAGGUGUUUGCAAUCAUACGGGGAGAACUGGUGAGAUCCUGGAACAAAGCUAUGCGGUGGUGAUGCAGAGGAGGGGUAUGAGGAAAGGCUUGGUGGGAGAAGUCAAAGGCGCGGUCACUGACUUCACGUUGAAAAUGCAAUGAGAUAAAGAACAAAAAUAACUCUUGCUGGGGGUGUCGCUCAGUGGCGCAGUGCCUGCCUGGCAAGCGAGAGGCCCUGGGUUCCAUUCCUGAUACCAAAAAUGAAAACGAAAAAGAAAAAGAUGACUACCAUGCACAGAGGAAACAUCUAAACAUCCAAAUGUCCCUCAGCCGAGAGUGGGGAAUUAAAAUGUGGCAUAUGCACGCAGUGGGGUAUUGUCAGCAGCGAAACACGAGCAAACCUUCAGCACAGCAUGCCAGGUGCAAGAAGCCAGUCAUGAAAGAUCACGGAUCAGACGAUCACAUUCACACGAAAUCUUCAGAGCAGGCAAAUCAACAGGGACACAAAGUUGAUUAGCAGUUGCCUAUGACUGAGGUAGGGAUAGAAUGGGGAGGUCUUUGCUAAUGGAGAUGGGGUUUCUUUUGGGGGUGAUGGAAUUUUUUUAUUUUUAAAAAAUGUUUAUUAGUCCG